GAUGAACGCUGGCGGCGUGCCUAAUACAUGCAAGUCGAGCGAACAGACGAGGAGCUUGCUCCUCUGACGUUAGCGGCGGACGGGUGAGUAACACGUGGAUAACCUACCUAUAAGACUGGGAUAACUUCGGGAAACCGGAGCUAAUACCGGAUAAUAUAUUGAACCGCAUGGUUCAAUAGUGAAAGACGGGUUUGCUGUCACUUAUAGAUGGAUCCGCGCCGCAUUAGCUAGUUGGUAAGGUAACGGCUUACCAAGGCAACGAUGCGUAGCCGACCUGAGAGGGUGAUCGGCCACACUGGAACUGAGACACGGUCCAGACUCCUACGGGAGGCAGCAGUAGGGAAUCUUCCGCAAAGGGCGAAAGCCUGACGGAGCAACGCCGCGUGAGUGAUGAAGGUCUUCGGAUCGUAAAACUCUGUUAUUAGGGAAGAACAAAUGUGUAAGUAACUAUGCACGUCUUGACGGUACCUAAUCAGAAAGCCACGGCUAACUACGUG
Molecule: ribosomal RNA, 497 nt
Filed under: uncultured bacterium
Lineage: Bacteria
Description: partial 16S ribosomal RNA
Rfam family: Bacterial small subunit ribosomal RNA
Source: RNAcentral